This 497-nucleotide ribosomal RNA is filed under the name uncultured bacterium. RNAcentral's name for it is "partial 16S ribosomal RNA". It matches the Rfam family "Bacterial small subunit ribosomal RNA", at positions 28 to 507 of the family's 1533-position model. The record is from RNAcentral.
GAUGAACGCUGGCGGCGUGCCUAAUACAUGCCAGUCGAGCGAACAGAUAAGGAGCUUGCUCCUUUGAAGUUAGCGGUGGACGGGUGAGUAACACGUGGGUCACCUACCUAUCAGACUGGGAUAACUUCGGGAAACCGGAGCUAAUACCGGAUAACCUUUAGAACCGCAUGGUUCUAAAGUGAAAGAUGGUUUUUCUAUCACUUAUAGAUGGACCCGCGCCGUAUUAGCUAGUUGGUACGGUAACGGCUUACCAAGGCGACGAUACGUAGCCGACCUGAGAGGGUGAUCGGCCACACUGGAACUGAGACACGGUCAAGACUCCUACGGGAGGCAGCAGUAGGGAAUCUUCCGCAAUGGGCGAAAGCCUGACGGAGCAACGCCGCGUGAGUGAUGAAGGGUUUCGGCUCGUAAAACUCUGUUAUUAGGGAAGAACAAAUGUGUAAGUAACUGUGCACAGCUUGACGGUACCUAAUCAGAAAGCCACGGCUAACUACGUG